AUAGAUAAAAACGUUAGAAUAAAAUAAGAAUAAAAAAAAUGAAUUUCUACCAAUUACAAUAUACAAAAUAAGCUAUAAACAAAAAUAAACAUGAUAUAAACAGAUAGUGCAAAUAUUGCUAUAUGCGUAAAUCGGAUGAAUACAUAGGGGGGGGAUGUGUUGCACUACAGCCAUUCAGCUGAGAACACAAAUAACAUCAGUUAAAAUAAUCCCUUCACUAUUCUCGCCUGUUUCUAUUACAGCCCCAUGUCUUUAUAGCUGAAUGCAUCAAGCAAAGCAAGUAUUGUUUUCGUCUGCAAGUGGGAAAAAAAGGUUUUCCUCCACUUUCCCACUGCCUGUAAAGAAACGCUGCUUUUCUGGCCCUUUUGAACUGAAAAUCGUGAUUUUUUUUUUUUUCUCCCCCUGGUGUUCUCCGGACGCGCUCCUUUCUUUCUGCGGAACAAUGACAACACUGGAGCUCCCCUGCCGGUGCGCCACAGUUGGGGAUCCCCCGGAUUGUUUUGGACAUCUUUGGAUUUCAUCAAUCAAAAUGACUGCAGUUUUCCAUAAAAAUGCUGAAUUUGGGUGCUGGAACCGAGCGAGGCAAGAGCUUCCUGGAAGGCUGCGAUUGGCCGGCUGUCUGGGCCGUGAUAGCAGCCCCGGAGCCGAGGAUGAUUGAUGAUGGCGAGGGCAAGGCCGAGCGCUGGCAGCAUAAAGCCCCAUAGACGCCUCAAUAAAGAGCCUGGCUAGUGGAGAGCCUGGGCCCCGCUCAAUAGGGCCCCUCCGCCUCCGAGGACCCACGGCUAGAGGAGUGCAUGGAGAGAGAGGGAGAGAGAGAGAGAGAGAGAGGGAGAGGAAGAGAGGGAGAAGGAGAGGUGCUCUGUUGUUGGAUAAUCCGUUUAGCUAUCGAGCCAGCAGCCGUCUGAGGCUGGAUAAGUGCAGCGACGGAUGUGUGUGGGGUGAAAAUAGCAGGGGUUGGCUGGUGGAGAGCUGGAGGGGGGGGAUGCAGGGACGAAGGAUGUGGAGAGAGAAAGAGAGAGGGGGAGAUGGAUCAUCCAGUCUCAGGAUGCAUAAUGGGGGGAAAAGGGAAGCGGAUGAACAAAACUGGAAAUCUGCAGGCUGCUUUUCACACGCACUAGAAAUGAUCCCAAAAAGUUGACCACAAGCUGUCUGAUGCCCGUCUGCUGCUGCUACUCUGGUGGCCACCAUUCAGCCUACAGAUGCAUAACUGUGGUGACCUUUGCUUCGGCAGAUCAAUGAGACCCUGCUAGGUUGGAUGCCAUCGGUGCAGCGUCCACUGCUGUGGCCCCAGACCGCAUGCAGCCCUGUUGUAACCCCACCAGCGCACAGCAGCUCUGAAAAGCACAAUUAGGCAGUAAUCUGCUCCUACCAAGCCAGCUUUCAGUGACUCCAGCGUGGCUACACGGUGUCCUGCAGACCCUCCUGGCUGGAGUUGGCAGGAUGAAGGUCUGAGACUGAUGGCCUGGUGGUCGUCGUCACUCUGCAGGGUUCAUAGAGAUCAAAGAUGAGAAGUUAUUGUCAAGACCCGGCAUGUGUUGCACAAAACAAAGCUGAAUCAAAGUUCCCAAAUGCACUAAAAGUCUGAAUUGUUGUUGUUUAUUAAAACUAAAAUUUAAAAUGUUAUCUCAGAAA
Molecule: long non-coding RNA, 1632 nt
Organism: Sebastes umbrosus (honeycomb rockfish)
Lineage: Eukaryota; Metazoa; Chordata; Actinopteri; Perciformes; Sebastidae
Exons: 2
Source: RefSeq, a predicted model, not a curated record